CCUUGCCGCUCUUACCAAUUCUUCCAAGUGGAUGGGACCAUCGUAACACCAGACGGACCAGAGUCGUGGCCGAGCAAUGUGAGUAAGAGACAGUGGCUUGUCUUCUAUAGAGUCGACGGAAUGGCUUUGAAAGGCGCCGGAGUUAUCGACGGCCGGGGACAAAAAUGGUGGGAUCUUCCCUGUAAACCUCACCGGACUGUCAAUAAAUCAGCAAUUGUUGCCGGCCCUUGCGACAGCCCCAUUGUAAGU
Non-coding RNA from Camelina sativa (false flax), 249 nucleotides. Lineage: Eukaryota; Viridiplantae; Streptophyta; Magnoliopsida; Brassicales; Brassicaceae. The record is from RefSeq and is a predicted model, not a curated record.